UCGAAAGAUUCGUGUCCAACUGCA
This 24-nucleotide non-coding RNA is filed under the name Arabidopsis thaliana (thale cress). Lineage: Eukaryota; Viridiplantae; Streptophyta; Magnoliopsida; Brassicales; Brassicaceae. The record is from RNAcentral.